Molecule: RNA transcript, 2211 nt
Organism: Pseudophryne corroboree (corroboree frog)
Lineage: Eukaryota; Metazoa; Chordata; Amphibia; Anura; Myobatrachidae
Exons: 5
Source: RefSeq, a predicted model, not a curated record
GACCACUCCAGCCGAGCAGCAAUGCUGUGUUUGGCAGCAGGGGUGGAUUGGUCCCGUUGUCUCAUCUGGGGCUGCCCUUCAAUAAACCACCCCCCUUCCCGGGCAGACUGUCGCGAGCAUUAGCCACCCCUCACCCCGCCGUGCUUACACCAGCAGCGCCCGAUAAUGCCCCUCCGCCCCGCCCCCCCCCCCCCCCCGCCCCGCCACUGGAGUUUACUGCCACUGCAGUAAAGAGCAGGGCUGCAGCGGAGGUCAUGCCCUCUUCCCAGGGCCGCCUGCCGCUGCCACUGACUGUCACAGAGGGAGUUUGCACAGACAGUGCCAGCAUGCGCAGGGGAAUGUCUGUUGGCUGCAGCCCCCAAACUGUGGCAGUCACCAGUGACGAGGAGGGCACUGUGGCGGGCAGCCAGUCGUGAUGCAUCAAAGAUCGGCGUGUUAGUGGAGUGAGCUUGUUUUUGGGUUGCCAUGGUAACGGUGUACGUAGUAGAAUGCGCCUCACGGGUGACGUCAGUGGGUGUGCGGCGACGGGGCGGGUGUGCAGUCCCAGCCCGGGAACCGCUAUUUUCUUGUUUGGUGGGCACUAUAAAGCUAUUUUUAAACAAGUUGGAAGGCACGUGGGCAAGUAUUUUAUUUGUAGCUGUUUGUCCAGAAAAGGCAUGAUGGCAGAGAUGGAGGUAGGAAGGCCCCAAACUAAUAUCUUGCCAGGCCCCAAAUGGUCUUAAUUCAGCUCUGAAAUCAUACAUCUGACAUUGAGGAGCCUACAGAUUUAUUGAGGACAUAAGGGUUUUGUGAUCGCAUCCUCUAGCUAAGAAUGGACCAGGAGGACAAUUGAUUCAUGGAUGCAAUCUAACCGAAGGCAGUACUCAACACUUGUGGUUUGUGUUGGCAACCAUUGUUUACUAUGGUGAUGCUACUGGGCGGAAGCAGCCGGACAUCACUGACCUAGCCGUAAGCUGGACCCGCGCUGCUGGAGGCGGGAGUUAGCUCCCAGCGCUAAGACUGACAGGACUCAAGGUGCUUUACAGGCAUGAAAACACAAAGCACAUAGGGCCCGAUUCAGCAUGGAGCGCAAUUACGAUGUGUUCACAUGCUAAAGCCCUUCUGCAGUGUACGUACGCGCAGAAGCCGCACUGCAUGUGUGCACACAGUGAAUUGCGCAACAUCUCACAUAUGCAAAUGCUUCUGACUGAUUGAAGGGCAGAGGCGUUCAUGGGGAAGGGGUGUCAAUGCGGCAUUUUAUGAGCGCCAACGCCACGUUGGGGGGGUACGGUCUAGACAACACAGGCGUGUCCGGUCCGUUUGCAUCACACGCAGCAGCUGCGACCCGAAACAUGGCGGAUAGCCACCUGCCUUUGCAGCUAGGCUGCGCAGGCAGAGGGCUACCCUUAACAUGCGAGCGCUUAGUUGCUGAGCAAAGCGUACGCAUGUUCGCGCGGGGGGGGGGGGGAUGCGAGCCGGACUUGCCCUGUGCUGGGUGUCCCCCUGCAUACUAGUGUAAAGGGCUGUAGUUGUGCGAUUUGUUUGCACAGCUACAACCCUUGCUGAAUUAGGCCCAUAGUACAAAGAGUAAUACAGUAAUACAGAAAUAAAAAUAAAAAAACCUAAAUAGAACAGUUUCGACAUCUGCCUACUAUCAAAUUGUGAGUUCUUCUACAUUAAUUGUAACUUUUUAUUUUCUCCAAAUGUCGUACUCUUUUUACACUUGCUUGGCAAUUAGAGAACAGACAUUUUCAAAGUGCAGAAUUUAAUAACUGUAAAUGCAUUGGUUUAAACGUUCAGAAUUAUGUGAAUGCUUUCAUUUAAAAUUAUUAUAUUGCUUUCCCUUUUUCUUUUCCCCUCUUUUUCCCUCUCUUUCUAUUCUUUCCUAUAUUUUCAUAAGCGGUUUUAUUAGAAUGUUCCUCUUUUACAUGUUUUUGAUGUUGGAAAAUAAGCAGACAAUCUUUUUUCCAUGCUUUGGGCGCUCAAAUGUUUUAUAUUGUCAUAAAUGAUAUGCGAUGAUCUUGUCCCCCUUUUUUUUUAUGGAACUGUACUGUUGUGAUGAUUUGUCUGCUGUCUUAAUAAAAAACAGUUUAAAUAAAAAAUGUUGUAUUAUAUUGGACAAUCAACAAUAUCCUUUAUAUGACGAAAGUCUUUAUAGUGCCACAAAUCAGAAAUUCUCCUCCACUUGUUACUCAUUUUAAUAUUUCAACUAGAAAAUAAUAUCCCUAUUCC